Long non-coding RNA from Gopherus evgoodei (Goodes thornscrub tortoise), 96 nucleotides. RefSeq lists it as uncharacterized. NCBI's taxonomy places the organism in Eukaryota, Metazoa, Chordata, Testudines, Testudinidae. The record is from RefSeq and is a predicted model, not a curated record. The transcript is spliced from 3 exons.
GCCUCUAUACUGUUGAGGAGGAUGAAAGUAUCAGGGAAAGAGAAUAUCCAACUGGAGCAGAGGGAAAUGAUCCCAUAGUUGGGACCCUUCUCACAG